RNAcentral lists this ribosomal RNA (554 nucleotides) under uncultured Lachnospiraceae bacterium. RNAcentral describes it as "bacterial SSU rRNA". It matches the Rfam family "Bacterial small subunit ribosomal RNA", at positions 62 to 614 of the family's 1533-position model. The record is from RNAcentral. Lineage: Bacteria; Bacillati; Bacillota; Clostridia; Lachnospirales; Lachnospiraceae.
UCGAGCGAAGCACUCUGCUUUGAUUCUUUCGGGAUGAAGAGCAUUGUGACUGAGCGGCGGACGGGUGAGUAACGCGUGGGUAACCUGCCUCAUACAGGGGGAUAACAGUUAGAAAUGGCUGCUAAUACCGCAUAAGACCACAGCACCGCAUGGUGCACGGGUAAAAACUCCGGUGGUAUGAGAUGGACCCGCGUCUGAUUAGCUAGUUGGUGGGGUAACGGCCUACCAAGGCGACGAUCAGUAGCCGACCUGAGAGGGUGACCGGCCACAUUGGGACUGAGACACGGCCCAAACUCCUACGGGAGGCAGCAGUGGGGAAUAUUGCACAAUGGGGGAAACCCUGAUGCAGCGACGCCGCGUGAGCGAAGAAGUAUUUCGGUAUGUAAAGCUCUAUCAGCAGGGAAGAAAAUGACGGUACCUGACUAAGAAGCCCCGGCUAACUACGUGCCAGCAGCCGCGGUAAUACGUACGGGGCAAGCGUUAUCCGGAUUUACUGGGUGUAAAGGGAGCGUAGACGGCGAGGCAAGUCUGAUGUGAAAACCCGGGGCUCAACC